CCAAUAGCGUAUAUUAAAGUUGUUGCAGUUAAAAAGCUCGUAGUUGAAUUUCGGGGUCAGUAGGUUGGUCAUGCCACUGGUAUGUACUGGUCUCACUGAUUCCUCCUUCCUGAUGAACUGUAAUGCCAUUAAUUUGGUGUUGCAGGGAAUCUGGACUGUUACUUUGAAAAAAUUAGAGUGUUUAAAGCAGGCUAACGCCUGAAUACCUUAGCAUGGAAUAAUGAAAUAGGACGUUCGAUCCUAUUUUGUUGGUUUCUAGGAUUGACGUAAUGAUUAAUAGGGAUAGUUGGGGGCAUUAGUAUUCAAUUGUCAGAGGUGAAAUUCUUGGAUUUAUUGAAGACUAACUACUGCGAAAGCAUUUGCCAAGGAUGUUUUCAUUAAUCAAGAACGAAAGUUAGGGGAUCGAAGACGAUCAGAUACCGUCGUAGUCUUAACCAUAAACUAUGCCGACUAGGGAUCGGAUGAUGUUAAUUUUUUAAUGACUCAUUCGGCGCCUUACG
RNAcentral lists this ribosomal RNA (500 nucleotides) under uncultured Glomeromycotina. RNAcentral describes it as "partial small subunit ribosomal RNA". It matches the Rfam family "Eukaryotic small subunit ribosomal RNA", at positions 591 to 1092 of the family's 1831-position model. Lineage: Eukaryota; Fungi; Glomeromycota. The record is from RNAcentral.